AUUGAACGCUGGCAGCAGGCCUAACACAUGCAAGUCGAGCGGUAGAGAGGUGCUUGCAUCUCUUGAGAGCGGCGGACGGGUGAGUAAUGCCUAGGAAUCUGCCUAGUGGUGGGGGAUAACGUUCGGAAACGGACGCUAAUACCGCAUACGUCCUACGGGAGAAAGCGGGGGAUCUUCGGACCUCGCGCCAUUAGAUGAGCCUAGGUCGGAUUAGCUAGUUGGUGAGGUAAUGGGCUCACCAAGGCGACGAUCCGUAACUGGUCUGAGAGGAUGAUCAGUCACACUGGAACUGAGACACGGUCCAGACUCCUACGGGAGGCAGCAGUGGGGAAUAUUGGAACAAUGGGCGAAAGCCUGAUCCAGCCAUGCCGCGUGUGUGAAGAAGGUCUUCGGAUUGUAAAGCACUUUAAGUUGGG
Molecule: ribosomal RNA, 416 nt
Filed under: uncultured bacterium
Lineage: Bacteria
Description: bacterial SSU rRNA
Rfam family: Bacterial small subunit ribosomal RNA
Source: RNAcentral